Molecule: transfer-messenger RNA, 392 nt
Filed under: Anaerolineales
Lineage: Bacteria; Bacillati; Chloroflexota; Anaerolineae
Also listed under: 3 other names
Description: UBA11657 sp913040765 Standard tmRNA
Rfam family: transfer-messenger RNA
About the family: Bacterial tmRNA, also known as 10Sa RNA or SsrA, is named for its dual tRNA and mRNA-like properties.
Source: RNAcentral
GGGGAUGACAGGCUUCGACGGAGGAGGCUGUCGUCAGGCUGCGAGCCGAGAGGCGCCGAACUCGCAAAAUCAGCGCAAACAUAUAACAGGCAAAUCAAAAGCCUACAACGCUCUUCCGCUUGCCGCAUAAACCCGGUAUAGCAAAGAGUAGAUCUUCCUAAAUGCAAGAUCCGUCCACUCCCAGCGACACCAGCCGCUCGGGUGUUGGGCGUCACUAAUGCUGGUGUGCCACGCACGACGCCGCUAACUGCGUGAAAGAAAUAGCGACUAGGUCGGAUGUUGACCCUGUUGGUUGGGGCACAACCGAUGAAAUCUAAAUAGACCAACUACGCUCGUAGACGUUUGUCGAUCAAUCCUUACGGACCCGAGUUCGAUUCUCGGCAUCUCCACCA